GUACCAUUUGCACCCAGUUUAGUUAUCCUACCCAACAAACAAAAAUUGAGCUGCACCCGUAUAUUAUACAUUAGUAUAUAAAGAUCAUGUAAUGGGUCAAGGUUAUAGGGUUAGAUUUUUAGCAUAUUUCAUGACAUUUCUAUACAUUGAUGAACAUAACAUAUCCAUAUGAACAAAAUUUUUAAGUCUGGCAAGGUUUUACUUGUCUGUCUAUAUUCUAGAUUCUAGCUGAGGGCUGCAGACAUGGAGACACCUAAGCAAUAUGCAGUUACACAAAGAGAAGAACAUUGGCACGAAGAGACCGCAAGU
This is a non-coding RNA of Paramuricea clavata, 309 nucleotides long. Lineage: Eukaryota; Metazoa; Cnidaria; Anthozoa; Malacalcyonacea; Plexauridae. The record is from the annotation of a GenBank genome assembly.